RNAcentral lists this microRNA (23 nucleotides) under Mus musculus (house mouse). RNAcentral's name for it is "piRNA piR-mmu-49111605". Lineage: Eukaryota; Metazoa; Chordata; Mammalia; Rodentia; Muridae. The record is from RNAcentral. RNAcentral also lists the same sequence under 1 other name.
AGGCAGUGUCGUUAGCUGAUUGG